This 596-nucleotide long non-coding RNA is filed under the name Equus caballus (horse). Its description in RNAcentral is "lncRNA (ENSECAG00000058956.1)". Lineage: Eukaryota; Metazoa; Chordata; Mammalia; Perissodactyla; Equidae. The record is from RNAcentral.
AGGAAGGAGAGUUCGAGACGAUGGGAACAGGAGCCCGCUGGGCUGUCAGCAUCUGGAGCGUCUGGAAAAUGUGCUUUAUAAAGGGCCCUGCGGCUGCAAAGGCGGAUUUCUCUGGCUCCGUCUGAAGUACAUCGUUGUAUAUCUUAGUUGCAGGUCCUUCUAGCUGUGGCAUGUGGGACGCCGCCUGAAUGUGGCCUGAUGAGCGGUGCCAUGUCCACACCCAAGAUCCGAACGAGUGAAACCCUGGGCCGCUGCAGCGGAGCGCAUGAAUUUAACUGCUUGGGCACGGGGCCGGCCACCGUUCUUUUCCUUAUUUAACAAAAAAGCUGUCCCUAGAGCGCUGGUGUCCUUGGUUGGAAGGAGGAAGAUGAGGCGUGAACUCAGCUGGUUGGGCCAGGACCCCUUUCUCAGGCUCCGCCAGCCCCUGAAGCAUCUCCCAGGCUCCUGGGGAGGCAUCUGACCUGGGGUAGCGGACACAGCGGGACCCUGGGGGGAGCCUGGGUCAGAUCCUGGCUCCGACACUGCAGGAUCAAGGGGUUGACCCCCAGGCUCCCCCCAUUAGUAAGAGAUGGACAUUAACGCCCCCACUGACAGGG